RNAcentral lists this long non-coding RNA (526 nucleotides) under Mytilus galloprovincialis (Mediterranean mussel). Lineage: Eukaryota; Metazoa; Mollusca; Bivalvia; Mytilida; Mytilidae. The record is from RNAcentral.
UGCUUGAUUGUGAAGAAGUGCCCUUACUCUGAGAUCGAUUAUGAAUAAUAAGAAUUCAUGAACCUUAAGAAAUCUGACAUACCAAUAAUUGGCAUUUCUGACGCGAAAUUUCCAAUUGGCAUUUAUCCGUUUCAAAUCCGUUCAUCAUCCGUUUUAUCCGUUAUACGUCCGGUAGAAGUCGUUUCUCAUUCGUUCAACAUCCGUUUUAUCCGUUAAACGUCCGUUAGAAGUCCGUUGGUGAAUUUAUCUUCCAGACCUCCAACGGAUGUAUAACGGACACGUAACGGAUACAAAACGGAAACGAAACGGACGAGUACCGUACAAAACGGACGCCUAACGGACGUUCAACGAACAUUUUAUCCGUUGGACGUCCGUUCAAAGUUUUGAACAUGCUCAAAAUUUUCCACCGGACAGAACGGACGUCGACGGAUAAAACGUACGCUUAACGGACAUGCAACGGAUUGAAAAAAAGUUAUCCGUUAGGUGUCCGUCCGAGCUAUCCGGUAAGGUGUGACCGAGGCUUUAC